This 485-nucleotide ribosomal RNA is filed under the name uncultured bacterium. Its description in RNAcentral is "partial 16S ribosomal RNA". It matches the Rfam family "Bacterial small subunit ribosomal RNA", at positions 899 to 1397 of the family's 1533-position model. The record is from RNAcentral.
ACUCAAAGGAAUUGACGGGGGCCCGCACAAGCAGCGGAGCGUGUGGUUUAAUUCGAUGCAACGCGAAGAACCUUACCUGGGCUUGACAUGGAGGUGGUACCAACCUGAAAGGGAAGGGACCCGCAAGGGAGCCUCUGCAGGUGCUGCACGGCUGUCGUCAGCUCGUGCCGUGAGGUGUUGGGUUAAGUCCCGCAACGAGCGCAACCCUCGCCGCUAGUUACUCUGUCUAGCGGGACCGCCGGGACCAACCCGGAGGAAGGUGGGGACGACGUCAAGUCAGCAUGGCCCUUACGUCCAGGGCUACACACACGCUACAAUGGCCAGGACAAUGGGUAGCGAGGGGGCGACCCGGAGCCAAUCCCAACAAACCUGGUCUCAGUUCGGAUUGUAGGCUGCAACUCGCCUGCAUGAAGUCGGAGUUGCUAGUAACCGCAGGUCAGCACACUGCGGUGAAUACGUUCCCGGGCCUUGCACACACCGCCCGU